CCCUAGCCCUGACAGAAAUGGAAAUCCUUGUUGGGCGGGGUUCGCCCAACAAGAUUGUAAUGUAUGGCAGGAAAUAGC
This 78-nucleotide small RNA is filed under the name Flavobacterium aquicola. RNAcentral describes it as "Flavo-1 RNA". It matches the Rfam family "Flavo-1 RNA". The record is from RNAcentral. Lineage: Bacteria; Pseudomonadati; Bacteroidota; Flavobacteriia; Flavobacteriales; Flavobacteriaceae.